RNAcentral lists this long non-coding RNA (708 nucleotides) under Marmota monax (woodchuck). Lineage: Eukaryota; Metazoa; Chordata; Mammalia; Rodentia; Sciuridae. The record is from RNAcentral.
CUAACUGAACACUUACUCUGUACCAAGUACAGUUCUAAGUACUAGAGAAAUCAGACCAAGAAUGGUGCAAAAACCUCAAAAUACCAAAAUCCACAGAUGGUCAAGCCCAUGUAUAAAAUAACAUAGUAUUUGCAUAUAAUCUAUGCACACACCUUCUUGUGCACUUUAAAUCAGCUCUAGAUUUUUUAUAAUACCUAAUACAAUAUAAAUUAUGUAUAUAAUUAUUAUACUGUAUUGUUUAGGAAAUAAUGACAAGAAGAAAGUCUUUACAUGUUCAGUACUUUUUUUUUUCCUGCCUGCAGCUCCCAUCCUAAACUGGAGGCUAAUGCUGAGCCUGGUCGAAUUAUGUACUUGUCCAUCUGUCCCUAUCAGCUUGUCUGACUGUAUUUGAGACUGUAAUAAUUUUAAAAGAUUCAGCAUAUCGGCCAUUUGCCACCCCUGCACUGGAUAAUUUUAUUCAUUCUCUUUCUCUUCCCCAAUUUCUGUCUCUUUUCCUUUUUCCUUCUCUCCCUCCUUUCUUUUCUUGAGUAAGAUUUAUUGUAUCAUAUUUUACACACAAUAAAAUCCACUCCCUUUCUUGUAUGUUUCUGAGUUUGACAAACGCAUACACUCAUAUGGCUACCACAGUCAAGACACAGAACAUUUCUAUCACUCCAAAGAAUCCCCACCGCACUUUCCUUUUGUAGUCUUGCCCUCCCUGCACCAGGC